This 2185-nucleotide long non-coding RNA is filed under the name Homo sapiens (human). RNAcentral describes it as "HSALNT0343666". Lineage: Eukaryota; Metazoa; Chordata; Mammalia; Primates; Hominidae. The record is from RNAcentral.
CAACAAAAAUAUUUUCAAACGGGUUUCCCCCAUAGUGCAGCAUUGAAACAGAGUUACUGUGAAUACAGAAGACUGUCUAUCCCACAGCAGGCAAUGCAAUUAAAGACUUCAGAGAAUGCCAGAUUUUUCAGAAUGCAUCAUAGAAUUUUCAAAGCUGUAAGAAAGAGGUGAGGAUGCUGAGAUGUAGAGAGACUGAUUUGCUCAAGAUAACAAAGAGUUUUAUUGAUUUGGGAACCCAUGGAAGGGGGUCAGCUGUGAGAUAUCACAUGAUCAGACUGACUGCCUGACCAGACUGACUGCCAUCCUGUUAAAGGAAUGAAUCACAGUUCAUCUCGCAGAUUUAUGGCAUGCCUACAGAAAAAGUACCUUAUGAUGCAAACCUGAAAGUUUAAAUAAUCUCCUGAAAGUUCCACAAUCAGCUGCAGAGAACUCCAGGAGCUGUUUUUAAAGAAGAUUAAGUUUUCAGCUUUCCUCCACUGUUUUGGGAAACGUCACCUUCUUAUCUUGGAAGAGUAAUCUCAAAAUUGAAGCAUCUUAGAUCCAACAAGAAUUAAAAGGAUGGGAAGUCCUUGCAGCCAUCCAAUAGAGUCAGAAGACUUUGGAUUUUGGAGUCUGUGAGAUUAUCUUACAGAGCAAGACUGCAGAUCAAGAUUUUCCAACGUGGUGCUGACUUUUUUGAGAACAGUUAAUGAGAACUAGGAAAGUCCUUGCAGACCAUCCAGUCCAGCGGCUUUCAAAUGGAAAAUGUGAAAGGACAACAGAAUCACAUGGAUUCUUUUCUGAACUGCUUUUUUCCAGUGAUGCCAUAUUCUAUAAGACUUCAUGUGAAGGUGUGGAGGACGGGUAAUGUCUGAAUCUUCCAGGCAAUGAGAGGGAUGGUGUGAGUCUGGAAAUUCUUUGUGAUGGUCUGAGACUCCCCUUACUCCAGUUAAGAACACUGACUUAAUUCGAUCUGGUUUUUUUUAACAAAUGGCCUCUGAGACGUAGAGCAGUGAGGAUAAGGACUCUUACCCGGUUACAGAGUGGAGUAAGGGCUAGAACUCAACUCUUAAAAAUUUCAAAUGCAAUGUUCUUUCUACAAUAUUGUGCCUACUUCUUCACUUCUGCUUAUAGGCAACUUCCUUUUCCUUUAAUUCUCUAAUAUUUGGAGGGCACGUCACAACUUAUACACUUGCUCUAUAUGUUUUACAUUGCUUCUCAUGGUUUCUCAUGCAUAAGUAUAGUAUUUUCUUAUAUUUUAAAUUUUCUAAGAACAGGUAACCUAUUUUAAACUCCCCUUGCAAUUAUGCAGGUAACUAACACAUUGAUGAUAAGCUAAUAUUAAGAGAGCAAAAUAGUUGAUGAUUAGUUUAUUAGUAUCUCAAAAUAAUCCAUUUGAUGUGCUAAGGUGCUAUUAGUUACAACAUUUCAAGUAUACAUGCAAUUCUUGUUAGAAAUAUUAUCCACCUUUUGAAAUACAUGUUGAUUAAAGACUAACAUGGGCUGUGGGCAUAGGUACAGUAACAGCAUACCAUAGGCCGGAGAAAGAGUUGACUUUGGAGGUCCAAGAUCAAGAAGCAGGAUGUCUAACAGGGCUCUUGAGAAUUCUAGGGCAGCCGGUACUCGAAAGGCAAGAUUUGAUUGUGAAUGAUUUCAUGCAACUCCGUUGGUUAAUAAGCAAAUCCUGCCCACACUUGUGGAUAACAUGGAAGCUACCUGAGCAGGUAAAGGCUAAGACAGAAGAUCCAUGAACAGAACUGGAGUUUUGAUAAUUCACCAGGAACUUGGUUACUUUGUUGUACCUUUUAUGCUUUUAUAUUUCUUCUUCCCUUUCAUUUCCAUGCAAUGUAUUUAUAACUUGUAGCUAGAUUUUUAGAUUACUGCCAGACAAAUUCAGUCAAUUUAAUUAAUUAGGCAAAUUAAAGUGAAAAUUAUGUUUUAGGGGCUGUUAAAAUUUAUAAGACAUUAGCACAUUCUUCUCAUGUGCUUUUAUUAUUAUUACAAAUGUUGUUUCAUAAUUAGCCAUGUGUUAAUUGUUAGCUUGGGGAAUGAUUUACGUGUUUAAAAUUGGGAGAAAUCAUUUUGGCUAUGGCUACCUCUUUUAAUUUACUUACAUAUUUUUUUCCCAUCACACAGUGUUUGACUUUUACAACCACAUACAUUUUGAUUAGAACCUGAAAUAAUUCAGUAAAACAAGAUGAUGGUU